This 577-nucleotide long non-coding RNA is filed under the name Capsella rubella. Its description in RNAcentral is "long non-coding RNA (CRUB_LNC000391)". Lineage: Eukaryota; Viridiplantae; Streptophyta; Magnoliopsida; Brassicales; Brassicaceae. The record is from RNAcentral.
AUUGAAUUAUAACAUAUUCUAACCCAAAAUAACUUUAUACAAGCCAUUCACCGCCUCAAAGCAAUGGUGUUGGGUUCUUAUCCCAUUUGGGACCAAAUAUCAACAAGUCUUUCUUCUCACUUCUAAACAUUCUUCAUGCAUCUCUAGCACUUGUAAUCAAUCAAAUUCAUUGUAUUAUAACAUAUUCUAACCCAAAAUAACUUUAUACAAGCCAUUCAUUGCCUCAAAGCAAUGGUUUUGGGUUCUUAUCCCAUUUGAGACCAAAUAUCAACAAGUCUUUCUUCUCACUUCUAAACAUUCUUCAUGCAUCUCUAGCACUUGUAAUCAAUCAAAUUCAUUGUAUUAUAACAUAUUCUAACCCAAAAUAACUUUAUACAAGCCAUUCAUUGCCUCAAAGCAAUGGUUUUGGGUUCUUAUCCCAUUUGAGACCAAAUAUCAACAAGUCUUUCUUCUCACUUCUAAACAUUCUUCAUGCAUCUCUAGCACUUGUAAUGAAUCAUAUUCAUUGUAUUAUAACAUAUUCUAACCCAAAAUAACUUUAUACAAGCCAUUCACUGCCUCAAAGCAAUGUUUUUGG